UCUUAUUGGUAUCUUUCAGGUACAAUGUGUUCCAGAUCGGGUUUGUUGUCCUCGCUGGACUGACCUUUUUAUAUUACAUUGCCUUUGGAUGGAGAAGAAAAAAGCCGAGCGGUAGAUUCCAGCUCUCUACCUAAUGUAAAUCUCUUCUAUUUAUUUUAUCCUCUGUGUUUCCUCGUCUUUGGGAUUCGAUUGCGUGCUGCUGAGGAUUGCUCUGUCCACAAUUAUACCGAGAUUGGUCUCAUGAUCUUUGCAAGUGGUCUUAUAUUAUAAGAACAAGCACCUGCCCAAAAAGCUUCUCUUCUUCUACUUCUCUUUUCUGCUGAGGUUUGGUUUCAUUUCACUUGAAUGUAAUAUUGUUCUUCUUUCUUUUUUCUCUUGUAUCUAUUGUUUUAAUUUUGUUUGAUUAAUUACGAGAAAGAUCUCUGUGUCGCCUGUCUUCUCAUGGUCUUUUGUACUACUUCCAAUACUCUCUCGUAACCGUUACUUGGUUAAGAGUUUAGAUUAUCAGAACAGAUUCGGGUUUUGGAGUUUUCUGAGGUA
Non-coding RNA from Camelina sativa (false flax), 540 nucleotides. The record is from RefSeq and is a predicted model, not a curated record. NCBI's taxonomy places the organism in Eukaryota, Viridiplantae, Streptophyta, Magnoliopsida, Brassicales, Brassicaceae.